GGUAAAGCUGUGCCAGCGGCGGGGGUAAUACAGGGGGGGGGAGCGUUAAUCGGAAUGACGGGGCUUAAAGCGCACGUAGGCGGCUUGUGAAGUUGGAUGGUAAAGCCCCGGGCUUAACUUGGGAAUUGCAUGCAGGACUGGCGUGCUAGAGUGUGGGAGAGGGAAGCAGAAUUCCAGGUGGAGCGGUGAAAUGCGUAGAUAUCUGGAGGAACAUCAGUGGCGAAGGCGGCUUUCUGGCCCAACACUGACGCUGAUGUGCGAAAGCGUGGGGAGCAAACAGGAUUAGAUACCCCGGUAGUC
This 300-nucleotide ribosomal RNA is filed under the name uncultured Aeropyrum sp. RNAcentral describes it as "bacterial SSU rRNA". It matches the Rfam family "Bacterial small subunit ribosomal RNA", at positions 496 to 795 of the family's 1533-position model. The record is from RNAcentral. Lineage: Archaea; Thermoproteati; Thermoproteota; Thermoprotei; Acidilobales; Acidilobaceae.